This 337-nucleotide long non-coding RNA is filed under the name Numida meleagris (helmeted guineafowl). Its description in RNAcentral is "lncRNA (ENSNMEG00000021416.1)". Lineage: Eukaryota; Metazoa; Chordata; Aves; Galliformes; Numididae. The record is from RNAcentral.
UGAUGAAUUAUUACUUCCUUCAGAUUGAAUGUGGAUUGCUAAUUAACAAGUUGCUCGUGACUGAAUUUGCAUUUCAAGAUGAAAUAUUCCUGACAUUCUUUUUCUGUAACCUUGAAGAAGCUCCACUUGAAAUCAAUGGAUUGAAAUAUGCACCUGCACAGAUAAGAGAAGGAACAGGUGGUCAAAUCAAUCAGGAGGAGCAGUCACAUCUCUGGGCAGGAGGAUAUCCCUGAAUCAUGAGGUACAGCUGUUUCAAGAGACCUCUCAUGGAAGAACCUUUCCAAGAAAGGUUGGCCUUGGCAUUUUGAAGAUGCAAAUAAAUAAUUAAAUAAGUACA